Molecule: ribosomal RNA, 253 nt
Filed under: uncultured bacterium
Lineage: Bacteria
Description: partial 16S ribosomal RNA
Rfam family: Bacterial small subunit ribosomal RNA
Source: RNAcentral
UACGUAGGGUGCAAGCGUUAAUCGGAAUUACUGGGCGUAAAGCGUGCGCAGGCGGUGAUGUAAGACAGAUGUGAAAUCCCCGGGCUCAACCUGGGAACUGCAUUUGUGACUGCAUCGCUGGAGUACGGCAGAGGGGGAUGGAAUUCCGCGUGUAGCAGUGAAAUGCGUAGAUAUGCGGAGGAACACCGAUGGCGAAGGCAAUCCCCUGGGCCUGUACUGACGCCCAUGCACGAAAGCGUGGGGAGCAAACAGG